AUUUGACGUCACCCACUGACUUCCAUAUUAGGAAAACAACUAUGGAAAUAAAUAAAUAAACUUAUACAAGGCUCAACAUUAAAGUAAUCCAGUGACUCCAUUAGGUUAAUAUGUGUCUUCUUAAGGGAAAAAAAUGCGUUUGUGAGGAAAAAAACAACUAAUACUUUGAGCUUAUUUAGCGAUCGAUAGGUCACGUAUCCAUGGCAACAUGCAUAUCAGCGCGCGCGGUAAAUUCAACAUGGCGGCGAUAACGUUGAGCCAUCCGGGAUGACACUAAUGCAAGACAUGCGGAGCAGAUGGUGUAUUGAAGUCCACACUGAAGGAAGACACCCAUCCGUGUGCCAGAGCAGAAGAGAUCCACACCCCAUCCAAAACUGAAAAAAAGAUGUCUGUUGUUCCCCACCCCACACUCGCCCCUUUACUGAAGACCAUCUGCACCCAUUGUCUGGGGCAGGGACGAGGCUCCACCACCCCCUAUAUACACACAUACUCUCUCUUUCUUUCUUUCUCUCUCUCUUUGAAAAAGGGGGUAGGGGUCCUUGAUUCCAACCGCAAUGAAGAAAAAUGACUUAUUGAGCGGUUAAAAGACAGAAGCCUAUUAAAAACUCAAAGGAACUAAUUCCUUUAAAACCCUCCAGCAUGAUCUGUACAGCUGUGCUGCUCCCUUCCGCAUAAAAUCCAAACUUUUAUCUUUUUUAAAUGGCGCCUCCUCCAACCCUUUUAAAAUAAUAUGACAGUGGAUCUGUGGGACUUGGAUAGAAGCAAACAAAUUGGUCACUAUUGUUCUGUGGUUCCUAAAAUCUUUGUGAAAUAUGAGUCGGUUAUGUGCUGAAGUCUUUACACACAGAAAUGGUUGACUAUCAGCAAAGCAGGAUGAAAUGUUUUAUGACACCUACGUUUUGAAAUGAACAGGCAGGAAAAUUCUUCUAACGUACCCACAAACAAAUAAUUUUAUUAUAAAAUACCAGUAUGUUGUCGUCUAUUUGUGGGUCAGCAUAGUGAUGGCGAAGCUCCACAAAGCACAUACA
Molecule: long non-coding RNA, 1028 nt
Organism: Misgurnus anguillicaudatus (oriental weatherfish)
Lineage: Eukaryota; Metazoa; Chordata; Actinopteri; Cypriniformes; Cobitidae
Source: RefSeq, a predicted model, not a curated record